Molecule: long non-coding RNA, 469 nt
Organism: Lineus longissimus
Lineage: Eukaryota; Metazoa; Nemertea; Pilidiophora; Heteronemertea; Lineidae
Exons: 3
Source: RefSeq, a predicted model, not a curated record
AUCAUACUUUCAUUGACAUUACAGGCACACAUCCACAGAGCACUCUUCAAAUCAUCUACAUAGUGGUUAUCCAACUAGGAUUAUAAAGGCACACAUUGACAUAGACCACUGUUGCAAUCAACGACACAGUCGCUAUCCAAGUAGCAUUAUAGAGCUGUCAUGCAACGCAACAACUGUGCUAUCUGCCAUCGCACAUCAACGAAGAAGUGCAGCCGCCCACAUUCCACCUCACGUCUGUCCGACCAGCUGCAAUCCUCGAGGACGCCCAACUGUACCACGAUUUCACUACGAUGUUUGACAAGAAGGAGCAGUGCGCGAGAUAGGCUAAUGAGCAGACUUCCCUCGCUUGAGUUUCGGAAGAAUGUUCCAUAUCGCGCUAAGCUGACCACUGCUGACCAUGACAGGCGUGCAUUGGACUGGUACAGGUUGGAACUGAACAUUGAAUAUGCUGGUGGUGACGCUUUCUGAU